Molecule: RNA transcript, 1680 nt
Organism: Odobenus rosmarus divergens (Pacific walrus)
Lineage: Eukaryota; Metazoa; Chordata; Mammalia; Carnivora; Odobenidae
Gene name: aldehyde dehydrogenase, mitochondrial-like
Exons: 1
Source: RefSeq, a predicted model, not a curated record
AUGUUGCGCGCCGCCGCUGGCCUCGGGUCCCGCCUGGGCCGCGGUCCCCUGUCGGCCGCCACCACCCAGGCGGUGCCGGCCCCCAACCAGCAGCCUGAAGUCUUCUACAACCAGAUCUUCAUAAACAAUGAGUGGCAUGAUGCUGUCAGCAAGAAAACAUUCCCCACCAUCAAUCCAUCCACCGGAGAAGUCAUCUGUCAGGUAGCCGAAGGAGACAAGGAAGACGUGGACAGGGCAGUAAAGGCUGCCCGGGCCGCCUUCCAGCUGGGCUCACCCUGGCGCCGCAUGGAUGCGUCUGACAGAGGCCGCCUGCUGAACCGCCUGGCUGAUCUGAUCGAGCGGGACCUGACCUACCUAGCAGCCUUGGAGACCCUGGAUAACGGCAAGCCCUAUGUCAUCUUCUACCGGGUGGAUCUGGACAUGGUUCUCAAAUUCUAACGUUAUUACGCUGGCUGGGCUGAUAAGUACCACGGGAAAACUAUUCCCAUCGAUGGGGACUUCUUCAGCUAUACCCGCCAUGAACCCGUCGGGGUGUGCAGGCAGAUCAUUCGUGGAACUUCCCGCUACUGAUGCAAGCCUGGAAACUCGGCCCAGCCCUGGCAACGGGAAAUGUGGUUGCGAUGAAGGUAGCUGAGCAGACUCCACUGACUGCCCUCUAUGUGGCCAACCUGAUUAAGGAGGCUGGCUUUCCCCCUGGCGUGGUCAAUAUUAUUCCUGGAUUUGGCCCCACAGCUGGGGCCGCCAUCACCUCCCAUGAGGAUGUGGACAAAGUGGCCUUCACAGGCUCCACCGAGGUUGGCCGCCUAGUCCAGGUUGCCACAGGGAGGAGUAACCUCAAGAGAGUGACCCUGGAGCUGGAGGGAAAGAGCCCCAAUAUCAUCAUGUCAGAUGCAGAUAUGAACUGGGCUGUGGAGCAGGCCCACUUCGCCCUGUUCUUCAACCAGGGCCAGUGCUGCUGUGCGGGCUCCCGGACCUUUGUGCAAGAAGAUGUGUAUGCCGAGUUUGUGGAGAGGAGCGUUGCCCGGGCCAAGUCUCGUGUGGUUGGGAACCCCUUUGACAGCCAGACUGAGCAGGGGCCGCAGGCGGAUGAAACUCAGUUUAAGAAGAUCCUUGGUUAUAUCAAAUCUGGGAAGGAGGAGGGGGCAAAGCUGCUGUGUGGUGGAGGGGCGGCUGCUGACCGUGGCUACUUCAUCCAGCCCACCGUGUUCGGAGAUGUGCAAGACAGCAUGACUAUCGCCAGGGAGGAGAUCUUUGGGCCAGUGAUGCAGAUCCUGAAGUUCAAGACCAUAGAGGAAGUCAUUGGGAGAGCCAACAAUUCCAACUAUGGGCUGGCUGCAGCUGUCUUCACCAAGGACUUGGACAAGGCCAAUUAUCUGUCCCAAGCCCUCCAGGCUGGCACUGUAUGGGUCAACUGCUAUGAUGUGUUUGGGGCCCAGUCCCCAUUCGGCGGCUACAAGAUGUCUGGGAGCGGCCGGGAGCUAGGAGAGUAUGGGCUGCAGGCAUACACCGAAGUGAAAACCGUCACGGUCAAAGUGCCUCAGAAGAACUCCUGAAGAACUGUGCCGACUCCUGGCGGAGGUCAAGGACAUCAGCAGCAAAACCAAGAAAAAUGACACUUGUACAGUAUAAGUCUCGAAAGAGAAAUUCUCUCACAAAAUCUCUUGAUCAAGAAAGUCUCAG